Molecule: transfer RNA, 72 nt
Filed under: Bos taurus (domestic cattle)
Lineage: Eukaryota; Metazoa; Chordata; Mammalia; Artiodactyla; Bovidae
Also listed under: 3 other names
Rfam family: tRNA
About the family: Transfer RNA (tRNA) molecules are approximately 80 nucleotides in length. Their secondary structure includes four short double-helical elements and three loops (D, anti-codon, and T loops). Further hydrogen bonds mediate the characteristic L-shaped molecular structure. tRNAs have two regions of fundamental functional importance: the anti-codon, which is responsible for specific mRNA codon recognition, and the 3' end, to which the tRNAs corresponding amino acid is attached (by aminoacyl-tRNA synthetases). tRNAs cope with the degeneracy of the genetic code in two manners: having more than one tRNA (with a specific anti-codon) for a particular amino acid; and 'wobble' base-pairing, i.e. permitting non-standard base-pairing at the 3rd anti-codon position.
Source: Rfam by way of RNAcentral
UCCCUUGUGGCUCAGCUGGUAAAGAAUCUGCCUGCAAUGCGGGAGACCCAGGUUCGAUCCCUGGGUUGGGAA